Molecule: ribosomal RNA, 591 nt
Filed under: Triticum aestivum (bread wheat)
Lineage: Eukaryota; Viridiplantae; Streptophyta; Magnoliopsida; Poales; Poaceae
Description: partial small subunit ribosomal RNA
Source: RNAcentral
AUGCUGCGCUAUGAGCUCGAGGACCAGUUAUCGGUCAUAUACACGGACGAGGAGGCAUAUUGGCGCCAAUGGGGCACCCAACGGUGUGAUGCUAACACCGCUUACUUCCAGGCAAUUUCCAACGGUAGGAGACAUUGCAACUCCAUCCACUGCCUCUGGGACGGGGACACCAUCCUCCUUCGUCCCCCGGAGAUUCGCGCUCACGUUGACAGCUUCUACAAAGCCCUAUUUUCCGCCACCCCUCGGGGUGGCGCCUCGCUGGCCUUGGACACUUGGUCGGUCUGCCAGCUGGUCUUGGCCACGGAUAAUAAUGCCCUUAUGCCCCCCUUCGGGGUGGAGGAAGUCCUCGUCGUGAUUAAGGGCAUGAACCCGUCCUCAGCUCCGGGACCGGAUGGCCUCCCAGUGAAGUUCUUCCAAACCUUCUGGCAAGUUAUCAAGCCCGAGGUUAUGGCGUUAUUUAAUGAGUUCUAUGUGGGGUCCAUGGACCUGGGCCGCCUCAACUAUGGGAUUAUUACCCUAAUCCCUAAGGUCCUGGGUGCUUCGGAUAUUCGCCAGUUCCGCCCAAUCACGGUGAUCAACGUGAUCUUUUGA